GGCGCUGGCCUCUCGGGAACAGAAGGGGCCUGCCCUGCAGGCUCACCAAGAGCCUACUUUGCCAGAACUCCCAGGAUUGGCCACUGGAGAGGCCAUUGGACAGUGCCUGGGGACGCCGGCCCUACACAGAUCACCCACUGUGAGCCCAGGCUAACAGUCUACAUCUCAGCCCAACUCCAGCAUGGGCGGGACACCCACUGCAAGGGACCUCAGUCCUCCGAUGACCCCAUCACUCCAGGCGAUGAUAAGGCGGACACUGAAGCUGCCCAACGAACACCCCGGGCCACACGGCUCCUAGCUGUCCCACCCACAUCCCUCCAGUAUGACCGCCGGAAAAACAAAAGUGGCUCCAGCAGGGUGC
RNAcentral lists this long non-coding RNA (361 nucleotides) under Heterocephalus glaber (naked mole-rat). Its description in RNAcentral is "lncRNA (ENSHGLG00000045082.1)". The record is from RNAcentral. Lineage: Eukaryota; Metazoa; Chordata; Mammalia; Rodentia; Bathyergidae.